AUUAUCCAUGAGUGAGCUGCCUGAAACUUCAUUGAGAACAGUGAUGAGUGCUUCAGAGUAGGAGGAACGGGAGGGAAAAGAACCAGGUUGUCUUCUGAUUGUCUCCUAGAAAUCCUACAGAUUCGGUGGAAUAGCUAUAGUCGUUUAAUUUGACUAAGGAGCAAAAAGAAGAACAGUGGAAAAUGCUGCUUUAAAGGAUUGACGGCCACAUGAGCACCGAUACCAUGAAAGACAGGAGAGGCCGAUGCUGGAGUUCCCGCACGGAUUGCAAGGUCUAUCAGAGCCAGACUCAGAAGUCAGGCAGAGAAGCCACAUAGAGCAGAGGACUGAAAGGGUUUACACUUGGGUUUUGGCAUCAAUCCGGAGGUCUUGCCAGAGAGGCCAGAAGAGCCAAAGGUCUGAGCCGGGAAGCAGAGCCUGCAGGUCUGACCAGAGAUUUCAUGGCAUCAGAGUCCAGAGGCCUGUUCAACCCAUGUCUACUCACAUCAAGUGAUGAAACAGAUUUCUUCCCAGACUGCUUUCCAUCUGGUUGUUUUGUAACCACAAACAAACUACGUUAGAAGUAAUUUUUUAAAAAAUCCAAACUGCUAUUUUCUAUGCUGUUUAAUACAGACUAGGGUAACCUCUGCUGCUCCGACUGGAUCCUCACUGACGGUGCCCCUCGCAUUGCCAUCCUCCUCCUCACCUCUGCUUCUGACCGGGGUCAUCGCUCACCUGUAUCUCUGUGCCAUGGUCUCCUGCCUCAUCUUCCUGCCUCCAGUCUUCUGUCCUUUAAAUUACCUUCCUCAAACCUGCCACGGUGAUGUGUCUGGAAUAUAAAUACGAUCUCACCACUGCCAGGCUUAAAUCCCUUCACGAUCCCAAGUACUUGCAGGAGAAGUUCCAGAUCUGCGCUGCCCGUAGGGUGCCUACUGCUACACGUGGCUCCUGGGCACUUGAUAUGUGGCUCGUCAGAACUGAGACGUGCAGAAGCGUAAGAUACUCAACAGAUUUUGAACAUUUGGUACAAAAACAAACAAAACCAACCUGUAUAUAAAAAUUUAUCCUCAGUCACUUUAAAUACUGAUUACAUGUUAACAUGAUAACAUUUUGAAUAUAUUGGGUUUAAUAAAACAGUCUUGAAAUUAA
Canis lupus familiaris (dog) is the source of this 1128-nucleotide long non-coding RNA. RefSeq lists it as uncharacterized. NCBI's taxonomy places the organism in Eukaryota, Metazoa, Chordata, Mammalia, Carnivora, Canidae. The record is from RefSeq and is a predicted model, not a curated record. The transcript is spliced from 5 exons.